CCGUGGUCAGGCGAACUGCGCAUUUGCCUUGCUUGCCCCUUCCAUUGCUUCAACCAUGUUUACCUCAGUGAAUAACCUUUUAAACCCAUUUCUCACGUUUCCAUCCAUACCAUUCGAUGACCCAACAACCUUUGGCGAUAGCGUCUUGUUAUCCACCCCUUUCAACAGGACCAUCAUUUCCUUACUGGUUGACUUUUCGUCCAAACUGGUUUUGCUAGAACGGAUUACCGUCUACGAAAGUUUCUUAGGUUUUCCUCCUUUAUGCAUCAAUUCGUUCAUAUGAGCCUCAUGGUGAGAUGGCAACGGAUUCC
RNAcentral lists this long non-coding RNA (311 nucleotides) under Nicotiana benthamiana. RNAcentral describes it as "long non-coding RNA (NBEN_LNC041180)". Lineage: Eukaryota; Viridiplantae; Streptophyta; Magnoliopsida; Solanales; Solanaceae. The record is from RNAcentral.